GUGAGGAAUAUUGGUCAAUGGGCGCAGGCCUGAACCAGCCAAGUAGCGUGAAGGAUGACUGCCCUAUGGGUUGUAAACUUCUUUUAGAAGGGAAUAAAGUGGAGUAUGUAUACUCCUUUGUAUGUACCUUCUGAAUAAGGAUCGGCUAACUCCGUGCCAGCAGCCGCGGUAAUACGGAGGAUCCGAGCGUUAUCCGGAUUUAUUGGGUUUAAAGGGAGUGUAGGCGGAUGUUUAAGUCAGUUGUGAAAGUUUAAGGCUCAACCUUGAAAUUGCAGUUGAUACUGGAUGUCUUGAGUGCAUUGAAUGUGGACGGAAUUCGUGGUGUAGCGGUGAAAUGCUUAGAUAUCACGAAGAACUCCGAUUGCGAAGGCAGCUCACAGUGAUGUAACUGACGCUGAUGCUCGAAAGUGUGGGUAUCAAACAGGAUUAGAUACCCUGGUAGUCC
This 445-nucleotide ribosomal RNA is filed under the name uncultured bacterium. RNAcentral's name for it is "partial 16S ribosomal RNA". It matches the Rfam family "Bacterial small subunit ribosomal RNA", at positions 354 to 796 of the family's 1533-position model. The record is from RNAcentral.